UACGUAGGGGGCAAGCGUUGCCCGGAAUUAUUGGGCGUAAAGGGCGCGUAGGCGGCACGGCAAGUCAGGAGUGAAAGCCCUGGGCUCAACCCGGGAACUGCUUUUGAAACUGCCGAGCUAGAGUGCGGAAGGGGCAACUGGAAUUCCCAGUGUAGCGGUGAAAUGCGUAGAUAUUGGGAAGAACACCUGAGGCGAAGGCGGGUUGCUGGGCCGACACUGACGCUGAGGCGCGAAAGCCAGGGGAGCGAACGGG
This 253-nucleotide ribosomal RNA is filed under the name uncultured bacterium. Its description in RNAcentral is "partial 16S ribosomal RNA". It matches the Rfam family "Bacterial small subunit ribosomal RNA", at positions 524 to 776 of the family's 1533-position model. The record is from RNAcentral.